GGGGAAUAUUGCACAAUGGGCGAAAGCCUGAUGCAGCAACGCCGCGUGAGUGAUGAAGGCCUUCGGGUUGUAAAGCUCUGUCUUCUGGGACGAUAAUGACGGUACCAGAGGAGGAAGCCACGGCUAACUACGUGCCAGCAGCCGCGGUAAUACGUAGGUGGCAAGCGUUGUCCGGAUUUACUGGGCGUAAAGGAUGCGUAGGCGGAUAUUUAAGUGAGAUGUGAAAAUCCCGGGCUUAACUUGGGAACUGCAUUUCAAACUGGGUAUCUAGAGUGCAGGAGAGGAAAGCGGAAUUCCUAGUGUAGCGGUGAAAUGCGUAGAGAUUAGGAAGAACACCAGUGGCGAAGGCGGCUUUCUGGACUGUAACUGACGCUGAGGCUCGAAAGCAUGGGUAGCGAAC
RNAcentral lists this ribosomal RNA (400 nucleotides) under uncultured bacterium. RNAcentral describes it as "bacterial SSU rRNA". It matches the Rfam family "Bacterial small subunit ribosomal RNA", at positions 356 to 773 of the family's 1533-position model. The record is from RNAcentral.